This 336-nucleotide unclassified non-coding RNA is filed under the name soil metagenome. Its description in RNAcentral is "partial contains 5.8S ribosomal RNA, internal transcribed spacer 2, and large subunit ribosomal RNA". The stretch from base 1 to 120 matches the Rfam family "5.8S ribosomal RNA", at positions 35 to 154 of the family's 154-position model. The record is from RNAcentral.
GAUGAAGAACGUAGUGAAAUGCGAUAAGUAGUGUGAAUUGCAGAAUUCAGUGAAUCAUCGAAUCUUUGAACGCACAUUGCGCCCCAUGGUAUUCCGUGGGGCAUGCCUGUUCGAGCGUCAUUUACCCCCUCAAGCUCCGCUUGGUGUUGGGCGUCUGUCCCGCUUCGCGCGCGGACUCGCCCCAAAGGUAUUGGCAGCGGUCGUGCCAGCUUCUCGCGCAGCACAUUGCGCUUCUCGAGGCACCGGUGGGCCCGCGUCCAUCAAGCUCACCCCCCCAGUUUGACCUCGGAUCAGGUAGGGAUACCCGCUGAACUUAAGCAUAUCAAUAAGCGGAGG